UACGUAGGCAGCGAGCGUUGUUCGGAAUUACUGGGCGUAAAGCGCACGUAGGCGGCUUUGUAAGUUAGAGGUGAAAGCCCGGGGCUCAACUCCGGAAUUGCCUUUAAGACUGCAUCGCUAGAAUUGUGGGAGAGGUAAGUGGAAUUCCGAGUGUAGAGGUAGAAAUUCGUAGAUAUUCGGAAGAACACCAGUGGCGAAGGCGGCUCACUGGCCCGGUACUGACACUGAGAUGCGAAAGCGUGGGGAGCAAACAGG
Molecule: ribosomal RNA, 255 nt
Filed under: uncultured bacterium
Lineage: Bacteria
Description: partial 16S ribosomal RNA
Rfam family: Bacterial small subunit ribosomal RNA
Source: RNAcentral